Molecule: ribosomal RNA, 274 nt
Filed under: uncultured bacterium
Lineage: Bacteria
Description: partial 16S ribosomal RNA
Rfam family: Bacterial small subunit ribosomal RNA
Source: RNAcentral
AGACGGAGGGUGCAAGCGUUGCUCGGAAUUACUGGGCGUAAAGGGUGCGUAGGCAGCCUCUUAAGUCUGGCGUGAAAGCCCAGGGCUCACCCCUGGAACUGCGUCCGAAACUGCACGGCUUGAGGCCUGGAGGGGAGAAUGGAAUUCCCGGUGGAGCGGUGAAAUGCGUAGAUAUCUGGAGGAACGCCGGCGGCGAAAGCGGUUCUCUGGACAGGUUCUGACGCUGAGACGCGAAAGCUAGGGGAGCAAACGGGAUUAGAAACCCCGGUAGUCC